This is a long non-coding RNA of Nerophis lumbriciformis (worm pipefish), 585 nucleotides long. RefSeq lists it as uncharacterized. Lineage: Eukaryota; Metazoa; Chordata; Actinopteri; Syngnathiformes; Syngnathidae. The record is from RefSeq and is a predicted model, not a curated record.
UUCCAAGAUGGCUGCCAGGUGCGGUGGCUAAGCCUGGGGACAAAUGAAGCCGGUGCCGAACAUCAGGGACGUGUUGCGACGAGAGAGUGUGUCGAUGAUAAGAUAUUAAGCCGAGUUGUCCUGCAGGCGGUGAGAAGAAAAUGGACAUUGAUCUCAUGCGUGACUAAAUGGAUUAAAUUGGGCUUGGAAGCAAAGUAAACAACACAGAGGAGAUCCCCCUGGGACUGAAAUAAAUGACUAUAGCAAUAAUAAUACUCACAUCCUUUGCCAUGAAGCCAUGGGAGACGAGUCAAGAUAGAGGGAAAGAUGAAUGCAGCAAUGUACAGAGACAUCCUGGAUGAAAACCUUCUGCAGAGCGCUCUUGAACUCAGACCGGGGCGGUGGUGCAACGACCCGAAGCACACAGCUGAGAUAUCAAAGGAAUGUCUUCAGGACAACUCCGUAAAUGUCCCUGAGUGGCCCAGCCAGAGCCCAAGUAGUCUAAAACACAGGUGUCAAAUUUAAGGCCCGGGGGCCAAAUCUGGCACGCCACAUUAUUUCAAAGCCUGGAAAUAAUAUGCGUUAAUAAAAUGCUUAAUCUUUUCU